This 2457-nucleotide long non-coding RNA is filed under the name Triticum aestivum (bread wheat). RNAcentral describes it as "long non-coding RNA (TAES_LNC005866)". The record is from RNAcentral. Lineage: Eukaryota; Viridiplantae; Streptophyta; Magnoliopsida; Poales; Poaceae.
AACUAUUGUCCACAAGAUCAAGAUGAACACAUAUUUCACAACCAUUGAUAAUAUGGUAAUAAGAAUACACACAUAUAUAUUGUUCACACGUUCAAACACGAGUCAAUCUACACAAAGCAAAGUUUGGCUAUCUUGGCAACCAUCCAGAAAACAAAAGUCACAUUAAAGGACCCCUAUUUGCUGGUCUAAAAUAGUUCAAACACUAAAUGGUCCAAAACACUUGAGUCACAUCCAUGAGCACAAGAUUUCUACUCCAUAAUACUUGAGCACCAAAUGGUCCAGAACACACAUACGUUCAUGAUUACAAUUAAGAUUGCUGGUCCAAAAUACUGUAGACAGCCAAAUGCUCCAUAACACUUCCAAGCCAUCACAUCCAUGCAUACUAGGUUGCUGAUUACGUGAAAAUACCCCACAAGAAUUUGGUAGAAAGUGGAGUCAGCUCAAGUGCUUUGAAGCUCGUAGGGAAAUUGGCAGCCAAGAGAAGCACAAGAAUUAAGUAUUUAUGACAUAUGUCCAUAACACACAUAACAUAGUUCUGUCAUACAUGAGGUAAGAUAUUUAUAAAAUGAUAAAAGGAAUCAUCAUGCAGACAUAUCUACAUAUAUAUAGAAUAUGCAUUUUUCCAUGGCAGACAAAUCUACAAAUUUUAUUCAACAUCUUACAUGCAACAAACUGUAGUAGGAUCAGCCAAUCUGAAGUUGUAUUUGUUCUACUACAAAGUUAGCUGAUGUAAUCUUCAAAGUUUGAAAAUAAUUGUGUUUGUACGUUAUCUGAUGAAGUAGAACGGAAAUGUACAACUUCUGACCCCAAAAACUGUAGUAUGUGAAGUUCAGUUUAUGCCAUGUGAUCUUCAGAUUGUGACCACCAAAGGGAUAACACCAAACUGAUUUGUGUAUGUUAACUCCUAUAAGCAAUGUAUGUGCGCUUCAGAUCAUGUUGUGUUAUUUUCAUAUUUUUUAUUAUAAACUGCAGUAUGUGGAGUUCAGUUUUAUGAACAAGAUACAAAAUGUUAUCUAGUAAUGCUAUAGGUUCAGGCAGAAAUGUCGCGCUUUAGUCAAGGCUCAAAAUGAUCUAGGUAUAUUUCUAAGAGAGAAACAAUAAACUUAAUGUAUGUAUUAUGUUGUAGUACCUGCACCUCCUGGUACAUUAGUUGCCAUCUUGUCAUCCUUCAUCUACAACAAUAACCAUUACUUAAUAGAAAUAAAUGUUGCCUUCUUAUCAGUUUUUUUCUAGAAUAAUCCUUAUCAGUUUGAGGCUGCUUCUUUCACUGCAAAUUGCUCUGAAAAAAUGUGUAGACAUGUAUCAACCAUCCUGCAAAAAAAAGAAAAUGUGUUCAAUAUAGAUAAAUCGGCUUCCGAAAUCAAAUCAUAAAGUAAAGGCCAAAGGUCUGCAAGUUAUUUUCAUAUUGUGUUAUUUUCAUAUUUUUUAUUAUAAACUGCAGUAUGUGGAGUUCAGUUUUAUGAACAAGAUACAAAAUGUUAUCUAGUAAUGCUAUAAGUUCAGGCAGAAAUGUCGCGCUUUAGUCAAGGCUCAAAAUGAUCUAGGUAUAUUUCUAAGAGAGAAACAAUAAACUUAAUGUAUGUAUUAUGUUGUAGUACCUGCACCUCCUGGUACAUUAGUUGCCGUCUUGUCAUCCUUCAUCUACAACAAUAACCAUUACUUAAUAGAAAUAAAUGUUGCCUUCUUAUCAGUUUUUUUCUAGAAUAAUCCUUAUCAGUUUGAGGCUGCUUCUUUCACUGCAAAUUGCUCUGACAAAAUGUGUAGACAUGUAUCAACCAUCCUGCAAAAAAAGAAAAUGUGUUCAAUAUAGAUAAAUCGGCUUCCGAAAUCAAAUCAUAAAGUAAAGGCCAAAGGUCUGCAAGUUAUGUACUUGGUUAGUAUAAUGAAUGAACUUGUCAAAAGAACAAAUAUUAUGCCAACAACCAGAAUGAACACGAACAUCUCAUAUAAGUAUUGAAUGUCUGAAUCCUGAAAUUAUCUAGCCACUGCACCAAGGUGGCGGACUCUACAAUUUGAAUUCACAUGUCCAAGCAAUGCGGUGUGAGGCACUAUGAGAAGGUGCCUCUAAGGUUUGAAUGUGAUCGGAACUUGCAAUUCUCCCCGCUGGAAACCAUAUGCAGCUUCAAGUAGUUGAAGGUAUGUGGAUGUAGAGGAAGAUGAGAGUAUAUGUUGAGCCUAAGGUUUGAAUGCUAAUGCCAUAUUCAUGCAAAAGGAAAACAACACCGUGCUCACAUAAAAAAAUUAUAUCAAAAGAUGACACUGUUAUUCAUAAAUAUUAUGUGUAGAUGACGAUGUAAUUCAAAAGUGAUGGAGAAUAAAAUUGGAAUGUGCCUCCUUAAACAUUGACUGGACUUUGGGUCCACCUCGGCGCCCUCCGCUCGCCCACCUCUCGUCCUUGCUGCCAGGUAGUAUCGCGUACUCGCCGCCCUGCAAGCUCACCAUCAUGUACACCCGCUC